GGAGGCGGCGCGGUAGAAGAGGCCGGCGCAGGCAGGUGCAGCCCACCGGCCGUGGAGAUCAUCGGAGUGGUGGUGGGGGACGACGGCGCAACGGUGGAGACGGGCGGCGGUGAUGACAUGAUCGAACCAGAGCCUCGUGAUACCAAACUGGUAGAAACUAGGGUUCUACCGGCCCUCUGCCUUAGGUUAUAAGGAUAGGAGGGAGGUUGGAGGAGACGAGGGCGCUGCGGCCGGCGCGACGGCGCCGUCCCGAUGUAGGGAGGAGGCGACGGCNNUGGCUAGGGUUAGGGUUCCGGCUCCUCUGGGAGUCGGGCAAUAGAAUUGUCUUAUUGCUUGAUUCCAAAAGAGUUGUUUACAUCGGUUUAUAUAAUCUCGAUAACUUGAACUCUAAGAUAACUAA
This 400-nucleotide long non-coding RNA is filed under the name Hordeum vulgare. RNAcentral describes it as "long non-coding RNA (HVUL_LNC015539)". Lineage: Eukaryota; Viridiplantae; Streptophyta; Magnoliopsida; Poales; Poaceae. The record is from RNAcentral.